RNAcentral lists this ribosomal RNA (433 nucleotides) under uncultured bacterium. RNAcentral describes it as "partial 16S ribosomal RNA". It matches the Rfam family "Bacterial small subunit ribosomal RNA", at positions 29 to 507 of the family's 1533-position model. The record is from RNAcentral.
AACGAACGCUGGCGGCAGGCCUAACACAUGCAAGUCGAGCGGACCUUUCGGGGUCAGCGGCGGACGGGUGAGUAACGCGUGGGAAUAUGCCCUUCUCUACGGAAUAGUCCUGGGAAACUGGGGGUAAUACCGUAUACGCCCUUUGGGGGAAAGAUUUAUCGGGGAAGGAUUAGCCCGCGUUGGAUUAGGUAGUUGGUGGGGUAAUGGCCUACCAAGCCGACGAUCCAUAGCUGGUUUGAGAGGAUGAUCAGCCACACUGGGACUGAGACACGGCCCAGACUCCUACGGGAGGCAGCAGUUGGGAAUCUUAGACAAUGGGGGCAACCCUGAUCUAGCCAUGCCGCGUGAGUGAUGAAGGCCUUAGGGUUGUAAAGCUCUUUCAGCUGGGAAGAUAAUGACGGUACCAGCAGAAGAAGCCCCGGCUAACUCCGUG